AGUGAACGCUGGCGGUAGGCCUAACACAUGCAAGUCGAACGGCAGCACAGUAAGAGCUUGCUCUUACGGGUGGCGAGUGGCGGACGGGUGAGGAAUACAUCGGAAUCUACUUUUUCGUGGGGGAUAACGUAGGGAAACUUACGCUAAUACCGCAUACGACCUACGGGUGAAAGCAGGGGAUCUUCGGACCUUGCGCGAUUGAAUGAGCCGAUGUCGGAUUAGCUAGUUGGCGGGGUAAAGGCCCACCAAGGCGACGACCCGUAGCUGGUCUGAGAGGAUGAUCAGCCACACUGGAACUGAGACACGCUCCAGACUCCUACGGGAGGCAGCAGUGGGGAAUAUUGGACAAUGGGCGCAAGCCUGAUCCAGCCAUACCGCGUGGGUGAAGAAGGCCUUCGGGUUGUAAAGCCCUUUUGUUGGGAAAGAAAAGCAGCAGGUUAAUACCCCGCUGUUCUGACGGUACCCAAAGAAUAAGCACCGGCUAACUUCGUG
This 492-nucleotide ribosomal RNA is filed under the name uncultured bacterium. RNAcentral describes it as "partial 16S ribosomal RNA". It matches the Rfam family "Bacterial small subunit ribosomal RNA", at positions 29 to 507 of the family's 1533-position model. The record is from RNAcentral.